UACAGAGGUCUCAAGCGUUGUUCGGAUUCAUUGGGCGUAAAGGGUGCGUAGGUGGCGCCGUAAGUCAGGUGUGAAAUUUCGGAGCUUAACUCCGAAACUGCAUUUGAUACUGCGGUGCUCGAGGACUGGAGAGGAGACUGGAAUUUACGGUGUAGCAGUGAAAUGCGUAGAGAUCGUAAGGAAGACCAGUGGCGAAGGCGGGUCUCUGGACAGUUCCUGACACUGAGGCACGAAGGCCAGGGGAGCGAACGGG
This 253-nucleotide ribosomal RNA is filed under the name uncultured bacterium. RNAcentral's name for it is "partial 16S ribosomal RNA". It matches the Rfam family "Bacterial small subunit ribosomal RNA", at positions 524 to 776 of the family's 1533-position model. The record is from RNAcentral.